CAACUUGAAAAACAGAAUAGUGAAAUGGAACAAAAAGUAAAAGCUUUAAACCAAGUCUAUGAAUCUAAACUUGAAGAUAGUAACAGAGAACAGGAACAGACAAAGCAAAUCUUGAUGGAAAAGGAAAAUAUGAUUUUACAAAUGAGAGAAGGACAGAAGAAAGAAAUUGAGGUACUCACACAGAAAUUGUCAGCCAAAGAGGACAGUAUCCAUAUUUUGAAUGAGGAAUAUGAAACCAAAUUUAAAAACCAAGAAAAAAAGAUGGAAAAAAUUAAGCAGAAAGCAAAGGGGAUGAAGAAACGUUAAAGAAAAAAUUAUUGGAUCAGGAAGCCAAACUUAAGAAAGAGCUUGAAAAUACUGUUCUAGAGCUUAGUCAGAAAGAAAAACAGUUUAAUGCCAAAAUGCUGGAAAUGGCACAGGCUAACUCAGCUGGAAUCAGUAAUGCAAUGUCAAGACUGGAAACAAACCAAAAGGAGCAAAUAGAAAGUCUUAAUGAGGCUCAUUGACGAGAACUCAAUGAUGUAGUAUCAGUCUGGGAAACGAAACUUAAUCAGCAAGCUGAGGAACUUCAGGAAAUACAGGAAAUCCAAUCACAGGAAAAAGAACAAGAGGUAGCAGAACUGAAACAAAAGAUCCUCCUAUUUGGGUGUGAAAAAGAAGAGAUGAACAAGGAAAUAACAUGGCUGAAGGAAAAACGUAUUAAGCAGGAUACAACAUUAAAUGAAUUACAGGAACAGUUGAAGCAGAAGUCUGCCCAAUGUGAAUUCUCUAGCACAAGAUGAAACUAAACUGAAAGCUCACCUUGAAAAGCUGGAGGUUGACUUGAAUAAUUCUCUGAAGGAAAAUUACUUUUCUUUUUAUUUAUUUUUUCUUUUUUAUCCGGUCUAAAACAUCUUGUUACAGCAAAUUACUUUUCUUCAAGAGCAGCUAGUUGAACUGAAGAUGCUGGCAGAAGAAGAUAAGCGGAAGGUUUCUGAGUUGACUAGCAAGUUGAAAACCACAGAUGAAGAAUUCCAGAGUUUGAAAUCUUCACAUGAAAGCAGUAAUAAAAGCCUAGAGGACAAGAGCUUGGAAUUUAAAAAACUCUCCGAGGAACUAGCGAUUCAGCUAGAUAUUUGCUGUAAGAGAACCGGAGCCUUAUUAGAAGCUAAAACAAAUAAGCUAAUCAACAUUAGUAGUAGUAAAACUAAUGUCAUUCUCUCUCGGAUUUCUCAUUGUCAGCACCAUACAGCUAAAGUUAAGGAGGCACUGUUAAUUAAAACUUGCAGUUUUGGCCGGGUGCGGUGGCUCACGCCUUUGACAGAGGAGCAAAACACACUAAAUAUUUAUUUUCAACAAGCUACUCAUCAGUUAGAAGAAAAAGAAAAUCAAAUUAAGAGCAUGAAGGCUGAUAUUGAAAGUAUUAUAACAGAAAAAGAAGACUUACAGAAGGAAGGGGGCAAUCAGCAAGAGGCUGCUUCUGAAAAGGAAUCUUGUAUAACACAGUUGAAGAAAGAGAUAUCUGAAAACAUCAAUGCUGUCACAUUGAUGAAAGAAGAGCUUAAAGAAAAUCUGAGAUUAGCAGUCUCAGUAAACAACUGAUUUGAACAUUCAACUUCAAAAUAGUACCAGCCUAUCCAAAAAAGAAGCAGCCAUUUCAUCACUAAAUAAGCAGUAUGAUGAAGAAAAACAUUAAUUACUGGAUCAGGUACAAAAUUUAUCUUUGAAAGUUGAUACUCUGAGUAAAGAGAAAAUUUCUGUUCUUGAGCAGGUAGAUCACUGGUCCAACAAAUUCUCAGAAUGGAAGAAGAAAGCACAGUCAAGAUUUACACAGUAUCAAAACACUAUUAAAGAAUUGCAGAUUAAGCUCGAGUUAAAAUCAAAGGAAGCUCAUGAAAAGGAUGAGCAGAUGAAUUUAUUGAAGGAAGACCUUGAUCAGCAAAACAAAAGAUUUGAUUGUUUAAAGGGUGAAAUGGAAGAUAAGAAGAACAAGAUGGAGAAAAAGGAGUGCAAUUUAGAAAGAGUUAAAGAAUCAAACAGCAUGAAUUGUGGAAUUAGAGGACCAUAUUACCCAGAAACUACUGAAAUAGAGUCCUUAAAUGAAGUUCUUAAAAAUUACAGUCAACAAAAGGAUAUUGAAAACAAAGAAUUGGUUCAGAAACUUGAAUAUUUUCAAGAGUUAGGAGAAGAAAAGGACAACAGGGUUAAAGAAGCUGAAGAAAAGGUCUUAACACUUGAAAAGCAAGUUGCUUCCAUGAAAGCUGAAAUUGAAACUAAGAAGAAAGAAUUGAAUUUAAGUGUGAAAAGCAAAGAAGAGGAGUUAAAGGUACUGGAAGAUAGGCUUGAGUCAGACAGUGCUGCAAAAUUAGCAGAGUUGAAGAAAAAAGCUGACCAAAAAUUGCUGCCAUUAAGAAGCAGCUGUUAUCUCAAAUGGAAGAGAAAGAAGAACAGUAUUUCAGAACAGAAAGCCAUUUGAGUGAGCUAAAUGCAAAAUUGCAGGAAGGAGAAAGGGAAGUUCACAUCUUGGAAGAAAAACUUAAAUCAGUGAAAAGUUCACAAUCAGAAACAUUAAUUGUACCCAGAUUAGCAAAAAAUGUGGCAGCAUGUACUGACCAAGAAGCAGAUUCCCAAGAUUGUGUGCAGAAGUGUUUAACAAAGAAAUUUAACUGAAAAAGAAAAACCAUUGCAGGUGCUGGAGCAAGAAAAAGAAGAGACAAUUUCUUCUCAUUCUGAAAUGUAAUGCAAAUACCAGGAGGUCUUAAUAAAGCUAGAACAUGGUGAAGCAAAGCAAUGUGAAGAUCAAGUUAUGAUAGAUCAUCUUCAAGAAGAACUUGAAGAAGAAACAUUCCUUGAUAGUAUCCCAACAUGUGGAAGAAGGGGGAGGUAAAAAUAACACAGAGGAAAAGCAAGACUUGGAAAAUGUGGUUGAUGAUGUUCAGAAAAUCCUCCAGGAGAAGGAACUAACCUGUCAGAUCUUGGAGCGAAAGAUAAAAGAGAUGGAUUCCUGCUUAGUAAGACAGAAAGAAGGACAUAGAGUUGAAAUGGAAGAGGUGACCUCAAAAUAUGAAAAAUUACAGGCUUUACAACAACAGAUGGAUGGAAAAAAUAAACCCACAGAACUUUUGGAGGAAAACACUGAAGAAAAAUCCAAAUCACAUUUGGUCCAAUCCAAAUUGCAUAGUAACAUGGAAGGCCAGCACAAUGACCUGGAAUUUAAAUUAGCAGGGGCAGAAUGGGGAGAAACAGAAACUGGGCAAGGAGAUUGUUAGAUUUCAGAAAGACCUUCGAAUGUUGAGAAAGGAGCAUCAGCAAGAACUGGAAAUACUAAAGAAAGAAUAUGAACAAGAAAGGGAAGAGAAAAUCAAACAGGAGCAGGAAGAUCUUGAACUGAAGCACAAUUCCAUAUUAAAACAGCUGAUGAGGGAGUUUAAUACUCAGCUGGCACAAAAGGAACAAGAGCUGGAAAUGACCAUAAAAGAAGCUAUCAAUAAGGCCCAGGACGUGGAGGCUGAACUUUUAGAAAGCCAUCAAGAAGAGACAAAUCAGUUACUUAAAAAAAUUGCUGAGAAAGAUGAUGAUCUAAAACGAACAGCCGAAAGAUAUGAAGAAAUUCUUGAUGCUCAUGAAGAAGAAAUGACUGCCAAAGUAAUGGACCUGCAGACUCAACUUGAGGAGCUGCAGAAGUAAUAUCAGCAAAAGCUAGAGCAGGAGGAGAACCCUGGCAAUGAUAAUGAAACAAUUAUGGAGCUACAGACACAGCUAGCACAGAAGACGACUUUAAUCAGUGAUUCAAAAUUGAAAGAGCAAGAGUUCCAAGAACAGAUUCACAAUUUAGAAGACCAUUUGAAGAAAUAUGAAAAGAACGUAUAUGCAACUGUGGGGACACCUUACAAAGGUGGAAAUUUGUAUUAUACUGACGUAUCACUCUUUGGAGAACCUACCGAGUUUGAGUAUUUCUGAAAAGCGCUUUUUGAGUAUCUGAUGGUUCCUGAGACUAAGACCAUGGCAAAAGUUAUAACCACUGUACUGAAGUUCCCUGAUGAUCAGACUCAGAAAAUUUUGGAAAGAGAAGAUGCUAGGCUAAUGUCACGACUCUGAGCUUCAUCUUGAAGAAGAGCGCUGCUGGGCGACUGCUGCUUGGAAACUGUCCACACUUGCUAUUCUGAGUGAGGUUGUCAUUCCGGACCCCUCAUGUAGCCAAAGGACCAGGAGAAAUCUGGCCUGCAGA
This is an RNA transcript of Cebus imitator (Panamanian white-faced capuchin), 4207 nucleotides long. It is a transcript of the gene named golgin subfamily A member 4-like, with no coding region annotated. The record is from RefSeq and is a predicted model, not a curated record. Lineage: Eukaryota; Metazoa; Chordata; Mammalia; Primates; Cebidae. The transcript is spliced from 2 exons.